UGGGUGCCACUCCACCAGCGUCACUCUUUGAGAUAACACUUGGCAUAGGCAAUGACAAAGAUUUUUACGAUGUCAGCAUCGUGGACGGCUAUAAUUUGCCAAUUGUUGCUGUGCCACGGGGAGUGCACGGCACGUGUAAUGCCACUGGCUGCUCUUCAGACAUAAACUUGGGUAAGAACUAAAGCUCUGUUUGAAAUAAAUUUACAAAAUUUAUAAUUCAACUAGAGUAGUACAAAUUUUAUUAUAGGAUCAUAAAUAUUGAGUUCAUAAAGAUUCGGAUUUACAAAUAAAUUCUAGGAAGCCUAUAAAUUUGUUUUAAAUGUAGAAUAAGGGCUAAAAUUAAACAAUGAUUCCAAUAGUAAGGAAAGGAUGGUACCUGAUCUGAAUCGGUGAAAAUUCUAUGAAAACAAUCAAACAUAGGUUGUCCAAGAGAGCUUCAGGUCGUUGGAGGAGAUGGUGAAAGACAAGGGGGAGUAGUUGCUUGUAAGAGUGCAUGUGAAGCAUUCGGGCUUGACCAGUACUGCUGCAGCGGCAACUUUGCUAACCCAACAACCUGCCGGCCUUCAUUUUAUU
This 573-nucleotide long non-coding RNA is filed under the name Carica papaya (papaya). RNAcentral's name for it is "long non-coding RNA (CPAP_LNC012610)". Lineage: Eukaryota; Viridiplantae; Streptophyta; Magnoliopsida; Brassicales; Caricaceae. The record is from RNAcentral.